This 138-nucleotide long non-coding RNA is filed under the name Ictidomys tridecemlineatus (thirteen-lined ground squirrel). RNAcentral describes it as "lncRNA (ENSSTOG00000032263.1)". Lineage: Eukaryota; Metazoa; Chordata; Mammalia; Rodentia; Sciuridae. The record is from RNAcentral.
GGAACCCUGUCUGCCUAGAACCCAGGAAGAAUGUCAGCAACGACCUCUGAAGGGCCUUCUUUCUCAAGUGACCGAAUGGAGGAAAAGGUGUCAACAGCGAGAAGAUGCAGGAAGACUGGGAAGACGAGCCCCUGGACA